GAGCUGGCUUUGCAUCCAGAGCCCCCACUGAAAUCCUCUCGAUGGGAGGCUGUCACUUUGUGCUACGCCGGAGUCUGCGACCCCGUCCUGCGUCCCACUGCUGAGGGGCUGUAUGUGUACUUGUAGACCUGCACGGGGAUGAAGUCAGAUGUGAUGGCAAUCACCAGUCCAUUCCCAAUGACAGCCAGGAUUCCGAUGGCUUCCAGGACCUGCACCCAAAUUCCUGCAGGAGAGGAGAAGGUUAGUGAUGCUCCCUUGACAGCU
This 264-nucleotide long non-coding RNA is filed under the name Gallus gallus (chicken). The record is from RNAcentral. Lineage: Eukaryota; Metazoa; Chordata; Aves; Galliformes; Phasianidae.